This 168-nucleotide microRNA precursor is filed under the name Pelobates cultripes (western spadefoot toad). Lineage: Eukaryota; Metazoa; Chordata; Amphibia; Anura; Pelobatidae. The record is from RNAcentral.
GCAGACACAUUCCAGCCAAUCAGCAGCAGACUCUCCCUCCCAGAUCCUCCCACCUCCUGGACAGCUCACUAAGAAUGCAGCUUCACAAUGAAUGUAAAAUGGAUGCUGUCCAGGAGGUGGGAGGGUCUGGGAGGGAGGGUCUGCUGCUGAUUGGCUGGAAUGUGUCUG